UACUGCUCAGUAACACGUGGAUAACUGCCCUAAGGAAGGGGAUACCCUCGGGAAACUGAGGAUAAUACCCUAUAGGUUACCGAUGCUGGAAUGCUCGGUAACUCAAAGUUCCGGCGCCUUAGGAUGGAUCUGCGGCCGAUUAGGUAGUUGUUGGGGUAACGGCCCAACAAGCCCGUAAUCGGUACGGGUUGUGGGAGCAAGAGCCCGGAGUUGGAUUCUGAGACACGAAUCCAGGCCCUACGGGGCGCAGCAGGCGCGAAAACUUUACAAUGCGGGCAACCGUGAUAAGGGAACCUCGAGUGCCUGUACAUGCAGGCUGUCUGGGUGUCUAAAACACACCCAAAGAAAGGGCCGGGCAAGACCGGUGCCAGCCGCCGCGGUAAUACCGGCGGCUCGAGUGGUGGCCACUUUUAUUGGGCUUAAAGCGUUCGUAGCUGGGUUGUUAAGUCUCUUGGGAAAUCCGGCGGCUUAACCGUCGGGCGUCUAAGAGAUACUGGCAAUCUUGGAACCGGGAGAGGUGAGGGGUACUUCGGGGGUAGGAGUGAAAUCUUGUAAUCCCUGUGGGACCACCUGUGGCGAAGGCGUCUUACCAGAACGGGUUCGACGGUGAGGGACGAAAGCUGGGGGCACGAACCGGAUUAGAUACCCGGGUAGCCCCAGCCGUAAACGAUGCUCGCUAGGUGUCAGGCAUGGCGCGACCGUGUCUGGUGCCGCAGGGAAGCCGUGAAGCGAGCCACCUKGGAA
Molecule: ribosomal RNA, 744 nt
Filed under: uncultured Methanoculleus sp.
Lineage: Archaea; Methanobacteriati; Methanobacteriota; Methanomicrobia; Methanomicrobiales; Methanomicrobiaceae
Description: bacterial SSU rRNA
Rfam family: Archaeal small subunit ribosomal RNA
Source: RNAcentral